This 253-nucleotide ribosomal RNA is filed under the name uncultured bacterium. Its description in RNAcentral is "partial 16S ribosomal RNA". It matches the Rfam family "Bacterial small subunit ribosomal RNA", at positions 524 to 776 of the family's 1533-position model. The record is from RNAcentral.
UACGGAGGAUGCAAGCGUUAUCCGGAAUGAUUGGGCGUAAAGCGUCCGCAGGUGGCUGUGUAAGUCUGCUGUCAAAGAGCAAAGCUCAACUUUGUAAAGGCAGUGGAAACUACACGGCUAGAGUGCGUUCGGGGCAGAGGGAAUUCCUGGUGUAGCGGUGAAAUGCGUAGAGAUCAGGAAGAACACCGGUGGCGAAGGCGCUCUGCUAGGCCGUAACUGACACUGAGGGACGAAAGCUAGGGGAGCGAAUGGG